RNAcentral lists this ribosomal RNA (442 nucleotides) under uncultured bacterium. RNAcentral's name for it is "partial 16S ribosomal RNA". It matches the Rfam family "Bacterial small subunit ribosomal RNA", at positions 338 to 795 of the family's 1533-position model. The record is from RNAcentral.
CCUACGGGUGGCAGCAGUGGGGAAUAUUGGGCAAUGGUCGCAAGCCUGACCCAGCAAAGCCGCGUGAAGGAAGAAGGCUUUCGGGUUGUAAACUUCCUUUAAUGGGGAAGAGGAGAAGACGGUACGCCUUGGAUAAGCCACGGCUAACUACGUACCAGCAGCCGCGGUAAUACGUAGGUGGCAAGCGGUGUCCGGAUUUACUGGGUGUAAAGGGCGUGCAGCCGGGAGGACAAGUCAGAUGUGAAAUCCCGCGGCUCAACCCCGGAACUGCAUUUGAAACUGUUUUUCUUGAGUACCGGAGAGGUCAUCGGAAUUCGUUGUGUAGCGGUGAAAUGCGUAGAUAUAAGGAAGAACACCAGUUGCGAAGGCGGAUGACUGGACGGCAACUGACGGUGAGGCGCGAAAGCGUGGGGAGCAAACAGGAUUAGAUACCCUUGUAGUC